UACGUAGGGUGCGAGCGUUAAUCGGAAUUACUGGGCGUAAAGCGUGCGCAGGCGGCUUUGCAAGACAGAUGUGAAAUCCCCGGGCUCAACCUGGGAACUGCAUUUGUGACUGCAAGGCUAGAGUACGGCAGAGGGGGAUGGAAUUCCGCGUGUAGCAGUGAAAUGCGUAGAUAUGCGGAGGAACACCAAUGGCGAAGGCAAUCCCCUGGGCCUGUACUGAC
This 221-nucleotide ribosomal RNA is filed under the name uncultured bacterium. RNAcentral describes it as "partial 16S ribosomal RNA". It matches the Rfam family "Bacterial small subunit ribosomal RNA", at positions 524 to 744 of the family's 1533-position model. The record is from RNAcentral.